Molecule: transfer RNA, 76 nt
Filed under: Planctomycetota bacterium
Lineage: Bacteria; Pseudomonadati; Planctomycetota
Description: Planctomycetes bacterium (activated sludge metagenome) tRNA-Glu
Rfam family: tRNA
About the family: Transfer RNA (tRNA) molecules are approximately 80 nucleotides in length. Their secondary structure includes four short double-helical elements and three loops (D, anti-codon, and T loops).
Source: RNAcentral
GCCCCCUUCGUCUAGCGGCCUAGGAUUCGUGGUUCUCAUCCACGCGACAGGGGUUCGAGUCCCCUAGGGGGUACCA